GCGGUGGAUGUUCUGGAUCACCAGCGGGAAGGACGCCUCGCCGCGGUAGCGCUUGCGCGGCUCGGCCACCGUGCACCCCGGGGGAUCGGCCCAGAAGGCCUUGUAGUAGGCCCCCCGGUAGUAGUAGCAGGUGAGGCGAAAGCCGCCCGGCGCCCACAGGAUGAAGAACGCAG
Molecule: unclassified non-coding RNA, 173 nt
Filed under: fungal sp.
Lineage: Eukaryota; Fungi
Description: partial internal transcribed spacer region
Source: RNAcentral